CGGGGUGCAGCAGGCGCGAAAACUUUGCAAUAAGCGAAAGCUUGACAGGGCUAUCCCGAGUGCCAUCCGCUGAGGAAGGCUUUUACCCAGUCUAGAACGCUGGGGGAAUAAGGAGAGGGCAAGUCUGGUGUCAGCCGCCGCGGUAAUACCAGCUCUCCGAGUGGUGUGGAUGUUUAUUGGGCCUAAAGCAUCCGUAGCUGGCUAAGUUAGUCCCCUGUUAAAUCCACCGAAUUAAUCGUUGGAUCGCGGGGGAUACUGCUUGGCUAGGGGACGAGAGAGGCAGACGGUAUUUUCGGGGUAGGGGUGAAAUCCUAUAAUCCCGGGAAGACCACCAGUGGCGAAGGCUGUCUGCUAGAACGCGCCCGACGGUGAGGGAUGAAAGCUGGGGGAGCGAACCGGAUUAGAUACCCGGGUAGUCCCAGCUGUAAACGAUGCAGGCUAGGUGUUUGAACGGCCACGUGCCGUUCUAGUGCCGCAGGGAAGCUGUUAAGCCUGCCGCCUGGGGAGUACGAUCGCAAGAUUGAAACUUAAAGGAAUUGGCGGGGGAGCAC
This 551-nucleotide ribosomal RNA is filed under the name uncultured archaeon. RNAcentral's name for it is "bacterial SSU rRNA". It matches the Rfam family "Archaeal small subunit ribosomal RNA", at positions 326 to 879 of the family's 1478-position model. The record is from RNAcentral.